GAUCCAAUGGCUUAGGGCCUUAAUUGGGUUGGUUUAGGACUCCUAAUACUAAUCUAACAAGGGUUUUCUAAGCCUAUAAAGGCCUGAGAACAGUAAGAGAGAGGUGAGUGGUGGUUUUGGCUUUUCACAAAAGAACCCAGGUGGCUUGGUUUUUUGUUGCAGAGAGAACCCAUGAACAUGGGAUGCGGUGGACGGGCUUUGCACGAAGAUGAGGAAUCUGAGAAGAAGAGAGAGAGAGCCAUAUGCUAUAGAGAGGAGUAGGGCUCCUGGAC
Molecule: long non-coding RNA, 272 nt
Filed under: Elaeis guineensis (African oil palm)
Lineage: Eukaryota; Viridiplantae; Streptophyta; Magnoliopsida; Arecales; Arecaceae
Description: long non-coding RNA (EGUI_LNC011993)
Source: RNAcentral